RNAcentral lists this ribosomal RNA (497 nucleotides) under uncultured bacterium. RNAcentral describes it as "partial 16S ribosomal RNA". It matches the Rfam family "Bacterial small subunit ribosomal RNA", at positions 28 to 507 of the family's 1533-position model. The record is from RNAcentral.
GAUGAACGCUGGCGGCGUGCCUAAUACAUGCAUGUCGAGCGAACAGACGAGGAGCUUGCUCCUCUGACGUUAGCGGCGGACGGGUGAGUAACACGUGGAUAACCUACCUAUAAGACUGGGAUAACUUCGGGAAACCGGAGCUAAUACCGGAUAAUAUAUUGAACCGCAUGGUUCAAUAGUGAAAGACGGUUUUGCUGUCACUUAUAGAUGGAUCCGCGCCGCAUUAGCUAGUUGGUAAGGUAACGGCUUACCAAGGCAACGAUGCGUAACCGACCUGAGAGGGUGAUCGGCCACACUGGAACUGAGACACGGUCCAGACUCCUACGGGAGGCAGCAGUAGGGAAUCUUCCGCAAUGGGCGAAAGCCUGACGGAGCAACGCCGCGUGAAUGAUGAAGGUCUUCGGAUCGUAAAACUCUGUUAUUAGGGAAGAACAAAUGUGUAAGUAACUAUGCACGUCUUGACGGUACCUAAUCAGAAAGCCACGGCUAACUACGUG